UGGGGAAUAUUGGACAAUGGGCGCAAGCCUGAUCCAGCAAUGCCGCGUGGGUGAAGAAGGUCUUCGGAUUGUAAAGCCCUUUCGACGGGGACGAUGAUGACGGUACCCGUAGAAGAAGCCCCGGCUAACUUCGUGCCAGCAGCCGCGGUAAUACGAAGGGGGCUAGCGUUGCUCGGAAUGACUGGGCGUAAAGGGCGCGUAGGCGGUUUGGACAGUCAGAUGUGAAAUUCCGGGGCUCAACCUGGGGCUGCAUUUGAUACGUUCGGACUAGAGUGGGGAAGAGGGUCGUGGAAUUCCCAGUGUAGAGGUGAAAUUCGUAGAUAUUGGGAAGAACACCGGUGGCGAAGGCGGCGACCUGGUCCUUGACUGACGCUGAGGCGCGAAAGCGUGGGGAGCAAACAGGAUUAGAUACCCUGGUAGUCCACGCCGUAAACGAUGUGCGCUGGAUGUUGGGCGGCCUAGCCGUUCAGUGUCGCAGCUAACGCGAUAAGCGCACCGCCUGGGGAGUACGGCCGCAAGGUU
This 522-nucleotide ribosomal RNA is filed under the name uncultured bacterium. Its description in RNAcentral is "bacterial SSU rRNA". It matches the Rfam family "Bacterial small subunit ribosomal RNA", at positions 355 to 895 of the family's 1533-position model. The record is from RNAcentral.